This 33362-nucleotide long non-coding RNA is filed under the name Lynx pardinus (Iberian lynx). The stretch from base 27697 to 27781 matches the Rfam family "tRNA". The record is from RNAcentral. Lineage: Eukaryota; Metazoa; Chordata; Mammalia; Carnivora; Felidae.
UAUGAAUCAGGAAAACAUUUUAUGAAAGGGCAGCCGGUAUCAGACGCCAGAGUAUACACGCCAUCCAUCAGCAAACCAUUAGCGAAGGGAGAAGUCUCGGGUUUGCCAGAGGUGAGUAAAAAGACGCUUUCCUCUCUACCCUGCUGGCAAAACAGCAGCUGUAGAAGCACCGUGACUCCAGCCCACGUUUCCGUUAUCGUUUGGAGUUCCCUUUUUAUGCAUGCAUGAGGCUUUAAUCCUUUCUGACAGAAUGAAAUCUGAAUUAGGAAGAUGCAUUUUUGCCGAUGCCUCUAGCUCUGCCCCUCUGCCUGGAGACGAAUAGCUGUUUCUGCUUCCGGGCCAGAGCGGAGGGCAGGAGGCAGUAUUUUCAGGUGGAAGAUGGAACGCUGAGGACCAUCUGACUGGUAUAUUUCGGUGUCAGCAGAUCCUGAGUGGAAGGGGGUGAGGAAAGGGACAUUUUCAUGCUUUACAAAGCUGUUUAUCGCACAGUCGAAAGCCGCAGUUAAACAGGCACCAAACUGUGUCCAUCCGGUGUGUGCGGUUAGGGACCUUUCUGUAGGGCGUCCGUUGAAUAUCUGCUUUGGUCACGUGGAGUGAAAAUUAAACAAUUUUUUUUCUUUCUAUAAGAAAGUAACCUGACCCCUGUUUUAUACCUUGGUGUAAAUAUGGCUGUUUGCCAACCUCUCUCUUACAUUUCAUUGAGCUACAGUUGUAAAAGCUGAUGGAGUGUGAAAUGAAAAUGUGUGUCACAUUUCCAAGCAUCAUUUGAUGUCCUUUCUCCAACACAAUUGUUAAGCACUCCAGAAAAAAUACGCAGCCAUGACUUCACAUGCGGAAAAAGGGAGAAGUGAUAUUUAUCUGACCGUACAAUUCCACAAUUGUUUAAGUACGCGUAUUAUCUUUCCCCUGAAAAUAAGUCACAACGGCAUGUUAAUUAGACUUUGAGAGUAGUGACAAAGAGGGCCCUCUUAUCUCCGUUCUCACUUAACGUGGUGAUGGACUCUGGUGUCCAAACAUGAGUGACACCUCUCCCGAGCCUGACAAGUGUCUAUGCACAGCCAUCUGACCGAUAAUGGAAUGACGCACACCAGCCUCUGUCACAGCCCCGCCAACUGUGUGUCGUCCUCAACAGGGAGUGAACUCUAAUACUGGAUAAGCAUAACCAUGAAUGUUUCCUGUUGUUAAAAAAAAGAAAAAAAAAUCCUUGGGGUUUGGGAUGGAUGACCCGGAAGGAACAGUAUAAUCCAGAAUUUAAAUUUUACUGCUAGAGAGUCGGCUUUUGAUGUGUUAGCUAAUACUUUAGAAAUUUAAAAAAAAAAAAAAAAAUUUGAUGUUUGUUUAUUGUUGAGAGAGAGACAGAGAGUGAGUGGGGGAGGGGCAGAGAGAGAGAGGAAGACACAGAAUCCGAAGCAGGCUCCAGGCUCUGGGCUCUAGGCUCUGAGCUGUCAGCACAGAGCCCCACGCGGGGCUCGAACUCACCAAUCAUGCACGACCUGAGCCGAAGUCGGAUGCUUAACUGACUGAGCCACCCAGGUGCCCCAAUACUUCAGAAAUUUUUAAAGGAAGUUGGUCUGUGGUGGUUGUUGUUUGCUUUUCUACAGAGCGUGUAUUACAAGGUUGACUUUAAAAUUGCCACAGUGAGGGGCACCUGGGUGGCUCAGUCGGUUGAGCAUCCCACUCCUGAUUUUGGCUCAGGUCACGAUCCCAGAGUCAUAGGAUGGAGCCCCACGUCAGGCUGUGCGCCGAGCACAGAGUCUGCUUGGGAUUCUCUCUCUGUCUCUGUCUCUGUCUCUCUCUGCCCCCCUCCCCCACUCACGUUCUCUCUCUCUCUCUCUCUGGAUGAUAAAAUAAAAAUAAAUAAAAAUUAAAAGAAAAUAAAUUGCCACAAUGCAAAGGACUUCACAGCACGUGGCAGUAGGGGGCAAACUAUUAUCUCAGAGACCCUGCCGGAUGUAAUCCCAUCAACGUGUGUCCGUGGAAAAGGACAGUGUUCGGAAACAUUAUCGUAAACCAAGAAAAGCAGUGCCCUUCUGUUAGUUCCUUAACUAUACUGUUUCUUGCUAAAAGGGCAGCCCCAUUUAAAUUCCGGGGGGUGGGGGAGCAGCCUUUUCCCCUCUGCCUUCCUCCCUGCCUCCAGCCCAGAAAAUGUGUUGACAUCUGUUCCCACCGCCAGCCUCCCUCCACUCUGGGCUGUCUGAGAUCCUUGCUAGGAUGUGCUGGCCCUCCUGGCUUUCGAGGAGGAGUCUUAGAGUAUGCAUGAAACCAAAGGGUUUGGGAUUAUCAGUUCGGAUGCUUGCGUCGAGAGGAAAUCAGGCAAGUCUUUCGUUACCGUGUGCGACUUCCUGGACAUUAAUGAGCAUAGCUUUACACUUCAUUAUUUGUCAGCUUUUAAAGAUACGCCAGGCUCGGGGUCCAGAAAGCCUUCUUUAAUGAAUUUGUCCUGAUGUUAGAAAUGUUGUUGCUGAUGGUAGAAACCAAAAUACAUUAGGCAGGAAGAGAACAACCUACAUUUUUGUAGAAUUUAGAAGUAGUUGUUAGAGGUGAAAACCAUGCUUCGGGCACUUGGAGCUCUGUGAGCACUCGUAAAGGUGCUGGAACUCUCGAAUGAAAACAUCAGCUCACCUGCGUGGAUGAAGCAUGGCCUUGGGGUCAGACGGACCUGACUUUGCAUCUGGACUUGCCAGUUUACCCGAGCCAUGCAACUCCCAAGCUUAAUUUGGAAUCAUAAUGCGUGGGAAUCAUAAUGUCUAUCUCAUAGGGCCGUUGGAAGGAAUACGUUCUGGAGUGCCUGUAAACCACCUGAUCCUGUUCCUGGAACAUAGCACACAGCUACCAAAUGGUUGUUUCCCAUUUCCCUGAAAUCUAGUUGCGUCUAGAAAGAGCAAAACUCUGAAGAUGACCUGGUACUAAUAGUCGUGGUUUUGUUCAUUGUUCCAGCCCUUCUCAUGCAGGACACAUUUACGGAGGUCAGCGUGGGGGGUGCGUCUCUAUAUAUUAGGAUCAUCUGUUCAGAUCCAGAGGCCCAAUCCCAUCCGAAUGGGUUUCUGCAUUGUGUAGGCUUUCCUGAGUUUUUCUGGAAGGAUGCCCCCUGCCAUACACUUUGUAAAGAAAUCCGGAAAGGUCAGAGCAUUUAAAGCAAAACACUGUGUUAAAAAGUUAUUGUCCAUAGUAAAUGCAUUACCCUAAUUGAGAAUUUGAUAAUCCUGUAAGUACUUAGCCCUAUGCUACUUUAGAGUUGUUUUGUCUCAUUUUAGGCCCUGUUGACGUCUUUUGAUAAAACUGGUGACAGGUACACAGACUGGGGGAAGAAACACAGACUGGGUGGGCAUCGUGAGAUCCAGAUUAUAGCCUUCUGGUGUUUGCGGUAACAGGCUUUUGUAACCUUCUGUAUUAUCACUUAAUGUUCGCCGAACCUCGGUUGUCUCUGAGAUUCUGUGAUUGAAAUAUUCUACUUGACAAAAAUGGAUUGAAUGAAUGCCUACCCUGUGGCAGGGCUUUGAAUUCUAUAAAUAUUAAUAGAAAUCAGGCCUUGUUACUUUCAGAUAAUAACAGGUAAAUGCUCACAGCAUGGUGGAAAAGGAAAGCGAUAAUAAAGGCAAAAGGUUGCUGUCCUCUAAGAAAUUUUAUGCUAGUGGAAACAGCGUAUGGUAACAUCUUUUUAUGAUUAUUCCUGUCUUCUUUUCAGUUUGGUUGGAGGAAGAGAAGAUUAGAAAAAGGGGAUAGGAAGGAGCCAAAAUUAGUCUGAUUGUUAUUUGGGGAACAUGGGGGCAAACUGCCACCUGUAGCCUAAUAGAGAACAUUUCUGAGUAAGUAUCAUUUGAAGGAUAAUUUCAGAUAAAAAGGUUAUAUAAUAAUUAAAACAGUGGAAGACGUCAUGGAGUUCAAAGGGAUAAAUAUAAAUCAAAGAAAUGGGAGAUCAUGAACUUUUUUAUGGAAAGUAUUAGGGGGCUUUGUUCUUAGGAGGAAGCAGGGGACACAUAUGCUUUCAGAGAUGUUCUCGGAUAAUAAUUCUCAAGUGUGGUCCCCAAAUUUGCAGCAUCCGCAAAUCUGGGAACUUGUUAAGAAGGCAAACUCUCAAGCUUCAACCCAGACCUGGAUUGGAAACUCUGAGAGCAAGACCCAGUAACCUGUUUUCUUAAUAAGCUCUGCGUGAUACUGAUGCAUGCUGAAGUUUGAAAACCACUCUCCUAAGAAAAUAACUCUCAAGUGGGAAGGAGUGUUUGCCAUUUAUAACAGCAGUUUUAAUAUUUUAAUGUAAUCGUACCAAAUUUUCACACUUCCAACUUCAGACAGGAGAGUGGAACAGCAUCUCCAUGGAUGGAGAAGACUAUCUCAUCUACGUAUUGAUAAUUCCUCAGGAGUGGGUUGUAAACAUGAUGACGGGAGUAUGCGCAUGUCGCAUGUGUGUAGAGAGGAGGUGUUUAGUGAAAGGGGCCGGAGGCAUAGGAACCUUGAGCAGAAGCACCGUUUUAAGACGUGAAGAGCAUGGUUAUUUUUGCCACUCCCUCAUGGAAGCUAAAUUUGUAGUAGCAUGUCCUGUUCAAUGUGAUGAUCUUUUUAUACCGUUGAAGUUUCCGUAGAAAGUUGCUUUGCUGUUCAGUCAUUUCACCUGAAGAAAACCCGAGGGUAAACAUGGCCCACUGUCACUUGUACCACAUUCAUGACCAUGUGAUAAUACGAAAAAUUAUUUGAGAGCCAUCACUGAAGAUUAGGAUCAAUGAGUUGUUUUGCUUUAACUCUCUUAAGGAAAAUUUUUAUUAGAGAAAAUUUCAAGCAUACACAAAAGUAGAACAGUAUAAUAAUCUCACAUACCCAUCACCCACCUUAAACAUCUGUAACUUCUUUCUUCCACACUGAAAAUUCCAGGUCCCAAUAACCCAACGUAAGUACUCAUUGCUUUAUCCUGUGAUACUCAUAUAACUGUCUAAUAAUAAUUGUACCAAUGCUGUCACCAACACCAUGAUUACCGAAUACGGAGUUUAGUUGUGGUGGCGGUGGUGGUGGUCCUAGUUUUGCAGCUGUUUUUGUUCAUGGGUAUAUCCCUUGGGGGAUGUACAUGCCAAUAGUCGUUUUAAAACUUGUUUUUGUUUAUUUAUUUUUGAGAGAGAGAGAGAGAGAGAGAGAGAGACAGAGCAUAAGUGGGGAGGGGCAGAGAGAAAGGGAGACAGAAUCCAAAGCAGGCUCCAGGCUCUGAGCUGUCAGCACAGAGCCCAACGUAGGGCUCAAACUCACGAGCUGUGAGAUCAUGACCUGAGCCGAAGUCAGAUGUGUAACUGACUGAGCCACCCAGGCACCCUGGCCAAUAGAGGUUUUAAAGUCAGCCGAAAUCGUUCCUCUCUGUACAGCUUUCCCAACAAAUGGAUACUCCUUUGGGGAGCAUUUGUUCCACUUUGCUUUCAUUUUUUUUGGAAUUUUAAAAUCUUAAUUUUGUUUUAAAAUUAUGUAAGUUACUUUACAAAAUCAAAUCUACAGAAGUAUGUUCUGAGAAGUUCACCUUCUGUCUUCUCCAUCCUGUUUCUUCUCUUACCUAUUUAAGGAAUUUUGUUUGUUUCAGUUUUCAGUUUGUUCUUCCCAUGGUUUUUUGUUUUAACGAUAUAAACAAAUACAUGCACAUAUUUUUUGUCACCUCCUUCUUAAAUUGUAGACACUUUCUCUGUUUUUCACUUGACAGUGUAUCUUGACAGUUACUGCCUUAGCAGUGUAUAAAAAUUCAAUGAAUGUUUUUAAUGAUUUUUCUUAGGCUUCUAAACAGAAUACAUGAGACUUUAUACUGCUCUAGUACCUAAGUUAAAUAAUAUCCAAAUGAAACCCAACAUCUUUUUGGUCAAAGAAAAGAUAGGCGGAAUUACCCCAAAGCCUCAAGGUAGCCAGAGAAACAGUAGGCCAGUCAGAGGUUAGGAAUGGUCAGCCGUGCGAGCACAACAAAGUCCAGAAGCCCAACACUGGCCGUGAGAGUGCAUCCAGAAGAGAGGAUGCUUUGGCCGAUGGAGUUCAAAAACGCCGAAGACCAUCCCUAUUUGGAAAUGAACACAUCUAAUUCCCUUAGCCUGGUACCAUUAUAAAUUUGAUUCAUUUACUUCCCGUUGUGGAGUCUACAUUUCACCAGGCAAUUUCUGAUGAUAAUGUGCCUUCCUAUACAGAUCUGCCUACAGGAAGAAAAUAGGAUUAUUCAGUCCUCUUAAGUGUGCUGUUAAUAAAUUGGCAUUCUAGUUUUAUAUACUGGUCUCCUUUGUCCUGUCCAUGUGGUCUUUUCUGUAGGUGCAGGACAGUUUCUGAGCUUUCAAAGUUGUGAGGCCAGCCCUGGGCCCCAUUAGAUCCCACAAGGCAACAAAUGCCACCUCAUGUGACAUCUUCAGAGGCAACAAGGGAUUUUUCCUCUCCUAAUACUCAUUCUGCCAUUGGCUAAAUAUUCCGUGCCUACUGCUGUGACUCAAAACCAGCAUUCGUGGAGUGCUUAUUAUGGACCAAGUCCUAGGCCAAAUAUCUUACCUGCACUCACUCAUAACCCUGUGAGGAAGGUACUGUGGUGAUUCCUAUUCCACAGAUAAGGAAUCUGAGCAUCAGUAACUCCAUAAAUAACUGAAGUCACAAAUUCAGAAGGUGGGAGAGGCAAGCCAGGACUUAUGUGCAGUUCUUACCAACGUUCAAGCCUGCGUUCUUGUUUUUGAAUUGUUGUAAGAUAUACAUGUGAUCAGUCUUGCCAUCUUAACCAUCUUCAAGUGUACAGUUCAGAAGGGUUAAGUACUGUAUAUUCACAUCGAUGUGCCACGAAUCUCCGUAACUUUUUUUCCAGUAAAACUGAAACUCCAUUCCCAUUAAGCAACUCCUCAUUCACCACUAGCCCCAGCCCUUAGCCACCACCGUUCUGUUUCCUGUCUCAAUAAAUGUGACUACUCUGGGUGCCAUACCUUAUACAGGAGGAAUCAUACUAUACUUGUCAUUUUCUGACUGGCUUGUUUUACUUAGCAUAGUGUCCUCAAGGUUCAUCCACUGUGAACCAUGUCUCAGAAUUUCCUUCCUUUCGAAGGCUGAACAAUAGUCCAUUAUAUGUCUGCACCACAUGUUGUUUAUCUACCUAUCUGUUAGCGAACACUGGGGUUGCUUCCACAUUUUGGCUGUUGUGAAUAAUAACGUGGGUGUGAAUAUGGUUAUCCGAAUACUUCUUUGAGACCUUUUGAGUAUAUACCCAGAAGCAGAACUACUGUAUCAUAUGGUCAUCCUAUUUUUAGUAUUUUCCACAACAGCUGCACCAUUUUGCAUUCCUACUAACAGUGCACAAGGGUUUCUGCUUCUCCACGUCCUCACCAACACUGGUUAUUUUCUGGGUUUUUUGGGUCGUGGCCAUUCUGAUGGGCAUGAGGUCAGGCCUGGGUCUUUAAGCCCAGGCUCGUACCACCUUCCCUUUGGAGUUGUGAGUCUCACUGAUCACUUGUGGGCGGUAGUUUUCAUAUUCCAGUGCAGGCUCACACUGGAUCCAGAGAGGAAGAAAAUGGUCAGCGUUAACCAUCUUCCCUGUGUUCUGUGAAAGAUGGUAUUCAAGUUAUAAGUCUAUGUUAGGAAGACAGGAGAAUACCAACACUACCACCGCUUGACCAAGGGUAACUGGUUUCACUUCUGGUGUUCUUUCUAACAAAUCACUUGAGUCCUACCUUUUUUUAAAAAUUUUUUUUAAUGUUUAUUUAUUUUUGAGAGAGACGGAGCAUGAGCAGGGGAGGGCGUGGGAUAGAAAGAGAGGGAGACACAGAAUCUGAAGUAGUCUCCAGGCUCUGAGCUUUCAGCACAGAGCCCAUAGCGGGGCUCGAACUCAAAAACUGUGAGAUCAUGACCUGAGUUGAAGUCGGAAGUUUAACCGACUGAGCCACCCAGGCGCCCUGAAUCCUACCAUUACUAAGAUUGACACUUAUGAAGUCAGAGCCAUUUUGUGCCUGGGAGAAAAGAGAAAAGAAGAAAAUUCUCUGCCAUUUCUAAACUUCUAAGUAGUGCGUUUUAUUUCAAAGUUUUUCUCUUUCUGAGUUUAUUCCUGGUAGCAAAGGGUUGCCUUAAAGAAAGAAGAGGUAGGGUGGCUUUGUGAAAAGAGCUUGAGAUUUGGAGUCUGUCGUGUUUGGGCUCAGUCUGGGUUUACAUGUGCCUCUGCUCUGGUAGAGCUUCCUUGAAUCACCUUUUCUUCAUCCGUAAAAGGGACGUAAUUGGUUCACAGAGCAUUAAAUUAGAUACUGUGGACAGAGUGCCUGGUGCAUAGUAGGUAUAUUAAUAUUUGAUUAAGGGAUUAAGUGUAGUUUUAAAAAUCAGUGAUUUCCUGCCUCUGAAUUUUUUUUUAAUGUACUUUACUUCCAUUCUACAUUAUUGUACAGCAGUUAAGGACAUUGAUUAUGGGGGUGCCUGGGUGGCUCAGUCCAUUAAGCAUCUGACUUCCGGUCGGGUCAUGAUCUCGCAGUUCGUGGGUUUGAGCCCCGCGUCCAGCUCUGUGCUGACAGUUCGGAGCCUGGAGCCUGCUUUGGAUUCUGUGUCUUCCUCUCUCUCUGCCCCUCCCCUGCUCGCGCUCUGUGUCUCUCUUUAAAUAAAUGUUAAAAAAAUUUUAUAAAAAAAAAAAAAGAAUAUUGAUUCUGGAUUCUGAUUACCUGGGGUUGAAUCCUUGUUUUACCAUGUACAAGAAAUACGGCCUUGGGCAUAUUAUUCUGCCUCUCCCCACCUCCGCCGUCUCCUCUGUAAGCGGGGAUGAUGAUAGUACCUGUCAUAGGAUUUACAUAGAAAUGGUUUAACGGUCAGUAAAGGUUGGCUACUCUUCGUAUUAUCAUUAUUAAUUUGUGACACAUGCCGAGCAAUAAAGCAAUCAAUGAAGGUAAACAUUGCACGACCUUCUGUCACCGCAAAAGUUGUAAUCCUGAGCUGUGGAUUUCCUGCAAAAUGACGGAUAGAAAUGGACAAAUUCGGAGGCUUCUGCACCUAAUAAGAAUAACAACUCAACAGGAGAUUCAACAGCAAAUCGUGUAGCAUUGGCUGUUCCUCCUGACAGACAUUUCUUUCUCUUUAUGCCUCUUCAAGUUGCAGAGAGGGAAGGAGGCAAACCAUAAGAGACUCUUAAAUACUGAGAACAAACUGAGGGUUGAUGGGGGGUGAGAGAGAGGGGAAAGUGGGCAUUGAGGAGGGCACCUGUUGGGAUGAGCACUGGGCGUUGUAUGGAAACCAAUUUGACAAUAGAUUUUACGAAAAAUAAAUAAAAAAAUAAAGGAGAAUAUUCUAGAACAGAGAGCACAACCUACCCUUCUGUUUCUCACAAGUGAUGGAAGGCUGCCCCCGGGGUGCCUGGCUGCCACCUGUUUCUCAUCUGUUGGGACUUUGAUCCCAAUGAUGGAUUCACUUGAGCAGUUAGAUAGCUCAGCACCAACACAGCCGACUGCCCACGGAACGGAAGCAGAAGGGUGGCGUGGUUGGCCUUCGGUGCCCGACAACGGGCCAGCAGGAUAUUCAGGUGUCCUGAGUUUUAUGUACAAACUACGCUAUAUUUUCAGAGCUCUGACCCUUACAAAAGCACUCUUACAGUGCUUUCCUCUCCAUCUAACAUUCAUUUCCAAAACCACUGAAGUGAAAGGGUCUAUUAGUUCAGGGCCAGAUCUGAAAGCACAUGCAAACUGCAUUCAUGAGGUUAAGAAAUGGCUUAAUAAUUAAGUUAAAACAGUUGAAAGUGGGUCUAAUUUCAAACAGAUCAGCUAACCGUGUUAGACGAGAAUGAGGAUGUGUCCCUUCCUAUUUUCCCUUCCACCCCUCAGAUGUUGGCCCCAACCCCAAGCAGUUUUUCUGGUUUCUUUUUUUUUUUCUUUUUUCCUUCUUUUUAAACUUUAUAUAAGAUUGAAUUCUUCAACUGCCCAUAUGUUAAAUUGGCAUCACACGCAAUGAAAACCCUAGUAGGUUGGACAUUCAGUCCGUUUCUUUCAUAGUGUGUCGAACUAGUUUCUUUUGCAGACCCGUCUGGACGUUUUUGGGUCUCAGUCUAGAGACGCAGAUUUUAUCCCAUGCUGCUGAGCUGUGUGAAGUACAUUCCAGCUGAGCCGGUGUGGUUACGUCCGUUCAGGGCAUGUUCGGUAGGUCUGCGGUCCCUUCCGUGGGCCUGUUUGAGUGCCACCUUCAGACAGGAGGCUCAGCAGUUGGCUUGCAUUCCACUUGCCUCGCGCGGUUGCUGCUGUGGAGUGGCUCCUCCUGAGGCUCGAACCCGGGCUCGGUGAGGGCAACUGCAUGCGUCAGGGAGCCCGCUGUGCCUUCAUAACAAUAGUUCCUCCCAUUUGGUGAUCCUCUACCACGUGCGUGAUGGCAAGGCUUUUUCCCCGUAUUACCUCAGUAGUAUUUCUAGCCCGGGCCAGGGCACAGGGGCCAGCACACGUGGACGCUGCCGUGCACAGUGACCAAGAGCCACCACAGGGGCAGGCACUGGCCCGCCCUCCCGACCCACCGUCCACACCGUGGAAGGGAGGGGAAGGCACGGCGAGCUUGAGGUCGGAGGCAUCUGGGCAGACGCUCAGAGCAAGGAAGGGCUGAGGACAAGAGGAAAGGUUAGUACCCCCGAGAGGAGACUGGUCACACCUAACAACAUGCCGGUGAUGCCUGGCUUCUCACGGUGUGUUUCAACAUCAACUGACCGUAAUAUCAUCUAGGAUCGGACUAGAUAUCGGACAGGGAAAUAACAAAUGGGGCCCUGGCGAGGAGGGUUCCAGUCGGGGGGUUCUGGUAAUGCUGCUCUUCUGGUGUGACCCCUUGUAGGCCAGGGUUGGGGUGAGGGAGAGGGUCCCGUGUAGGUGUACUGGCUGCCUGUGCAAUGUCAUUGCUCUCAGGGUUAAAGUUUUAUGGAUGAUUUUUACCAGGUCCCCAGUGAAUUCAUCUAGAACAAAAGGUAUUCUUCAUCAUAAAAGCAUCAAAUGGAAAAAGCUUUCUUAUGAAAACCAAAGGGGUAUUUCAGCCACACCCAAACAUGAAAGGUCACGUAAGCCCCAUCUCCUGUCCCUGCUGACAGGGAGGGAGGGAGACUCCAGGAGGGUUUUAGCUCCUGUGAUGAUUGGAACUCAGGUAUCCCGAACUGCUCUCUCAUGCUCUCACUUUGACUACGUUACACUCCCUUCAGAUGUCUUUCCCGUUUUCCUUGGUCGGCCCUUAUCAGUGCCAGGCAUGACCAUGUGUCUCAGUUUGUCUGGGACCAUCUUGGUUUAUGCCUGUUGUCCUGAUGUGAUUAAUAACGGUCCCCUUUUUCCACUCCCCAAAAUGUCCUGGUUUGGAUGAUGAAUUAUGUGAUCAUCCUGUCAAUUUCUAAAGUAGACCCAGUACUGUGUAAGUAAGCCCUGCUUGGGGUGCAGAAGUCUGAGAUGUGGUCUCUUGCCCUCAAGGAGGAGAAAGUCUAGCUGGGAAGGGAAGAUACGUGCAUAUUCAACAAAGUGUGUAAUCUAUCAAGUGCUAAAUGAGAAAAAUUGGAAGAUAGGAAGCCUCUGAAGGUUGGAGGUAUCAGGGGAGGUGGGGGUCACGUUCUUUGUAGACAACAGAAGAGUGUUCCUCUAGUUUAAACAGGAAGGGGUCUGCAGAGGGGCACAGUUCCCAGGGCUCUUGGAAGGGCUGGCGAGUAGGUUCUGCUGGAAAGACAGAAACGACACCGAGAGCCACAUGGAAGCUGCCGGUGAGAAGCGUUCCCUCUGCCCCACCCUGCACCCGAAGGCGGGCGGACCCAGGCCCCGCCUGCUUCCCCGUGAAGCUUACCUCACACGCAGUGUCUCGCCACGUGGCACCUGAGCGUGGAGCCUGCCAAGCCUGCAGCCUAGGGACGGAGGAGGAUGGGAGAGGUUCCUUGGAAUCUGCAUGACUACGGCAGAACGCUCCGUGUGGAGGCCUGGCUGUGCGGGGAGGCUGUUCAAACAAUUUGGACUCCAGAGGGUUUCGCGGAUGUGGUGGGAUUGGAACUGGACUUGGGGGGCAGAGAGGACCUCAUCAGGCAAGUGAAGAUGGACGUUUUUCUCCAUGUGACAGGAACACCAGUCAGGUGACAAGGCGCAGGAACAAAUCUGGCCUCGUUUGGGCAUCCGUGAGCCGCUGUGGGCAGUUGGGAGGCUGCAGAAAGUGACAUUCGCUGUGAAGCGUAAGACCUCUGGGUUUGAAGUUGAAUAGAACUCAUCCCUAAUACGUGAGACAUACAGCCCACGGAACCAGCCCAUGAGAGGUUAGGCUUUGCUUCCGUAACACAUGAACUCGGAGAUCUCAGGCUUAACCUAGCAAAGUUCUCCUUCCUGCAUACCCUGCAACACAUCUAGUACCUUUUAGGGGGCAGUUCGCAAUCAGGGAUCGUCUGUAGCACACAGUCCUGGGACGCACGCAGGUUGCCUGCAAGCAGAGGAUGGCUGCGAGAGCCCAGCUUUUUCCUGCCUCAGCACAGGAAUCCCACAUGGCGUUUCUGUUCACAUCUACUGACCAGAAUACCCACAUGGCCCCACCUACUUCAAGAGUUUGGGAGGGACACCUGGGUGGCCCAGUCAGCUGAGCGUCCAGUUCUUGAUUUUGCCUCGUCAUGAUCCCAGCAUUCUGGGACGGAGCCCCCGUGCAGAACGUGCUUAGGAUUCUCUCUCUCUCCCUCCGCCCCUCCCCUGCUCACACUCGCUCAUGCAUGCUUUCUCUCUUAAAAAAAAAAAAAAUAAAUGUUUGAGAAAUACACACUUAUGAGUAAAUAAGGAGAAGAUAUGGGUGAAUACUAGAAGUUUCUACCAUGACCUGUUGGAAAGUUUUUUAAGCGUGAGCAUAACAGUAAAAGUCACCCAUGUGGGGCACCUGGGUGGCGCAGUCGGUUAAGCGUCCGACUUCAGCCAGGUCACGAUCUCGCGGUCCGUGAGUUCGAGCCCCGCGUCGGGCUCUGGGCUGACGGCUCGGAGCCUGGAGCCUGUUUCCGAUUCUGUGUCUCCCUCUCUCUCUGCCCCUCCCCCGUUCAUGCUCUGUCUCUCUCUGUCCCAAAAAUAAAUAAACGUUGAAAAAAAAAAAUUAAAAAAAAAAAAGUCACCCAUGUGAGGAAAAACGCCACCCCGUGUGUCCUGUGUACCCACCAGCCCCAGGCCCUAGCACAGCGCCUGGCACGUAGCUGGUGCUCAGUACGUAUUUGUUGAAUGAACUUGGCUUUCAGUGACAUGCAAGCUGGAAUGGAUAGUUUCUCGACCAAAGACAGGGAAGUUGAGAAUCCGUUACUUCAACUUAGGAUACCUCAACUAAGCCAGUUUAGUUCAGUGGCUAAAAAAAUUCUACUCAUGCCCCACAGCCUGAUCUUUGAAGUCAUCUGACAUCUCGAUAAACAGAUUGCAAAAGCCCCCUUUUAAACUGAUAACCAUCUUGCAAAUUUAAGUUCCUUCCAUGGAAAGUGUAGGGAUGAGUACUUUAGAGCCGGGCAUGCUGCUCACCACAGAUUUCAGUUUUCUUCCCAUUUACUUUCUUUUUUUUUUUUUUUUUUUUUUCAACGUUUAUUUAUUUUUGGGACAGAGAGAGACAGAGCAUGAACAGGGGAGGGGCAGAGAGAGAGGGAGACACAGAAUCGGAAACAGGCUCCAGGCUCUGAGCCAUGAGCCCAGAGCCUGACGCGGGGCUCGAACUCACGGACCGCGAGAUCGUGACCUGGCUGAAGUCGGACGCUUAACCGACUGCGCCACCCAGGCGCCCCCCCAUUUACUUUCUAAUGAUGAAACUGACAGCCUGUUUCUCUCGUCAUACUCAGAAUAUUGACUGUGAGAUGUGCCUCAAAUGAUAGAGCCAUGGAGAUCUCUGUUUUCUAAUGUAGUUUGAGGUGUUGUAAAUUUAAAGGGUUUUGUAGAAACAGAUUUUCUGCCCCUGUGUCUCCUCAAUGCAAUUCUAUAAAAUCACUGGUAAAUGUAAACAUUCGAGCCAUAUGUCAGGUCAACGCUUAUCUGGUAGGAAGUCCACCAAUAAAAAUAGGAUGCGGUGCCCUUGAGAUUUGCCACCACUCAACAGAGAAAUCUGAAGGACCACAAAAGCAAAGAAUCAUCGCAAAUGUAAUUUAUCAUGAUCAACACUUUCCUUCCAGAAGCUCCUGGCUCCCAGGGCUUCUUUCUUGCAGACAUCCAUUUUGAAAGAUCGAGUAUCUCUUAUGCACAUGAGCUUUGGAGUCAUACAGUGUGGAUUUGGACUCUUGGCUCUGUUCCUUAUUAACUGCAUGAUCCUUGGCUGGUCACUUACUCCUCCCUAGGUGUGUUUCCUCUUUUAUAAAUUGGGGGUAACGGAGUCUACUUGGUAGGGUGAUUUUGACAGAUGAGAUAAUGCGUGGAAAGCACUGAGCACCACCCAGCACAUAGGAAGUGACUGAUGGAUAUGCGGUGUGAAAUUGGGGGCCUGGUGACAGUCCGUGAAGAUUUAUCUGGGCCUAGUUAAUCAAGAUGCUCCAUGGGCAUGGGUUAUGUUUUGCCCAAAUCACGUAUGUACCAUGAGAAGAAGACUUGGUCGUUGGUCUCUUCAGACACAUAUAUCACCAGCGACAGCAUUUGUGAAGUCCGGUUGCCUAAAAUACUUCAUGAUGAUGAUUUAAGUUUCCCUUUUUCAUUGACAUUGAGUGGCUAUUUCUUUUCUCUUAUCCCGUCAGAUGAGGUCAGUUCCUCUGAGCAAUUACAGAACAUCUAUGGUCCAGGAUAGUGUUAUUUGCCAUAGAUCGUUUUCUUUUAGAUAUUCUUGUAGGAGGGAAUUUCCUCUUCUGUGUUGUACUAUUUUAUCUGAAAAUAAACACAAUCUGCCUAAUUGGUCUCCCUGUUUCUACCCUCUAUAUAAACUAGAUCGUGUCUCCCUUAUGCUUAAAACUAUCAAGGAUUCCAUAUGACCUAGCAUAUGUACCCCAAAAUGGAAAGCAGACAUUCAAGCCAAUGCUUGUACACCAAUAUUCAUAGCAGCAUUAUCCACAAUAAUCAAAAGGUGGAAAGAACCCCAGUGUCCAUCAGCAAAUGAAUGGAUAAACAAAAUGCGAUACAUACAUAUAAUGGAAAUUUAAUCAUCCAUAAAAAGAAACGAAUUUUCGAUACCACCGUGUGAAUGAACAAACCUUGAAAACUAUGCUAAGUGAAAAAGCCAGGCACAAUAGGAGAAAUGUUAUAUGAUUCCACUUAUAUGAAAGAUCUAGAAUAGGCAAAUUUAUGGAGGCGGAAAGUAGAUUAGAGGUUAUCAGGGGCAAGAGGUAGAAAUGGAGGUUAUUUCUUGUCUUUUUUUUAAAAUAUAAUUUAUUGUCAAAUUGGUUUCCAUACAAUACCCAGUGCUCAUCCCAACAAGUGCCCUCCUCAAUGCCCAUCACCCACUUUCCCCUCUCCGCACCCCCCAUCAACCUUCAGUUCGUUCUCUGUAUUUAAGAGUUUCUUACGGUUUGCCUCCCUCCCUCUCUCUUUGUAACUAUUUUUUCCCCUUCCCCUCCCCCAUGGUCUUCUGUUAAGUUUCUCAAGAUCCACAUAUGAGUGAAAACAUACAGUGUCUGUCUUUCUCUGACUGACUUAUUUGGGGAGUUAUUUCUUAUUGAUUACAGAGUCUCUGGAGGGAUGGGAAAGUUUUGGAGAUAGUGGUGAUGGAUGUACAAUGUGACAAGUAUAAUUAAUGCCACUGACUUGUGCACUUGAAAAUGAUUACAAUAAUGAAUUUUACAUUAUAUAUCUUACCAGAAUAAAAAAAAAUUUAAUGUUGAGUUUCCUCAUGCUCACAGUGGAAACAAAAGUGUCAAGUCCUAGUGUCUCGGCCCCACCAUUGGCUCUCUGACGCCAUCAUUGACCUUUCUCACCCUUGAAUGUUCUGGGCCAGCCACACUGGGUCUACAUGCUGAACACAUCAGCUCUUGAAUGUGGACACAUCAGCUCUACUACCUUAGGAGGACCUUUGCACUUGCUGGGCCCUCUUCCUGGAAAACACUUCUCUUAGAUGCCUAUGUGACCCAACCGUCCUCUCCUUCAUCAAGCGUCUGCUGAAAUACUGCCUUAUAAGUGAGUCCUUCCUGAUUAGCUCUCUAUAAAAUAGCUACCCCCACCAUUCUUACUCCAUUUUUCCCCAUGGAAAAUCUCACCAGCAGACACACCAAAUAUUUGUGUUUCUUUGUCUCCAGGUACUAAAAUGGAAACUCCAUCCGUAAGUGCUGAGAUAUUUUGCUUCAUUCAUGUCUUUGUAUUUAAUGUCUAGAACAGUGCAUGGCACGCCAUAGCAAAUGCCUAGGAGACGUCUAUUGAGUGAAUGCAUGAAUGUGUUUGUGUUGGAGAUAGACAUAGACAUCCUUACUAAAAAGGAUUGCAAGACCAAAUACCUGGUCAUCUUAUAUAUCAGUGAACUAUUGCCACUAUAAAUGCCUCAUGACACAACCUUAGAGCCACUAGGCUCACGUCAUCUGGGCUUGCUCAGACAUCUGCAGUGAGCUGUAAGGUGCCUAAGCAGCUCGGGGCUUCUGGACCCGACGGGUAAAGAUGGCUUCAUCUGGGACUCCUUGAGUGAAUCAGCUCUAUUCUGCAUGGCUCCUCCUUUAUCAGGCUAGCCUGGCGUCUUCUCAUGGUAAAGGCAGAGGAAGAAGAACAGAAAGCAGAAAUACAAAAGUACUUCUCAAGCCGGGGCAUGCAUCAUGUUUGAUAACAUCCCACUGGCCAAAGUAAGUCACAUGGACAAGACCAGGGAGAGCACUGUGAAGUGAUGUGGCAGAAGGCGCAGACACGGGGAGUGUGGAGAGUCGGGGCCGUUCAUGUAUUCAGUCUGCCGCGCCCUGUGAGGUCCUGGCCUGGGUGCUGCUUACCUUCUCAUCCUCUUUCUGUAGCCCCACCAGAAAUCACAUCCUGCUUUGACUCGAGAUCAACUUCUUCUAGUUCUCCAACUCAGUGUCUUGUUUUUCGGUUCUGGUAUUGGAAGGAUGGGGACUAGUAACGACACAGAGCAAAACAACCCUCAUUUUUCACACAGAGCCUCCAGGAUAGUAGAAGUUAGUAGAAGUUAAAGGUCUUCCCGUGGUCUUCUAUUAAGGAAACCUAAAGGACUCGAGAGUUUGGAUGGCGUCCUCUGAAGUGUACGUACCCAACAACGCAACAUCGUCAACCUUGGAGCAUGGGGUAGGCAGAAUGAAUAACUGUCUCCCAGAGCCGUCCAAGUCCUGACCUCUCUGUGAAUGUGUUAGGUCGCAUGCCCAGGAGGAGUAAGGUUGCAGAUGGAAUUAAAUUUGCUAAUCAGCCGGCCUUCAGAUAAAGAGAUUAUCCUGCAUUAUCCAGGUGGGCCCAGUAUAAUCCUGGGAGUCCCUACAAGUAGAAGGGCCGCAGGAGAAUCAGAGGUCAGAUCAUCAAGAAAGCUGCCUUUGAAGGUGUUGGGGGGAUAGGGGCAGGCAGAGGGCAUGAGCCAAGGAAUGCAGGCUGGAAAAGGCAAGGAAGUGGACUCUCCCCUAGUGCCCCUGGAAGUUGGACAGCAUAUGAGACCCACGUUGGAUUCCUGAGCUCCAGAACUGUAAAAUGAUAAAUUUGUGUCGUUUUAGCCAUUCGUUUUCAGUUAUGUGUUAACGGCAGUGACAGGAAACGAAUACAGGGACUGACUUUAUCCUGUGGAAUCCAAGCAAAAAGUGAGAAGAUGUGUACUGGCUACUGAGAGGCUGUUUACGUCUCCUCUGUUUUCCACAUGGGCCAGGAAUUUUUUAAGAGGUGCGGGAAACACCUUCGCAGUGGAGAGGUGGAACAGGAGAAACGCUCAGGGGGAGAGGUAGGUUGUUGCUGGGGCCCAUCAGAGAAAAGGAGGAGGUUGUGAGGGAGACACUUAGCUCACGUUCUCAGGAAGUCCUGGCCCCACAGCUCUGAGCCCCACCUCCUGGGGCUGCUUUUUCUACUUAGACCAACGUUUUCUCUUCCCCCGUCUGUAGCCCAAACCCUGCUAGAGCUCCUAACAUAACGUGGAAGCCAGGACGGAGACUGGAGUUUGGCAGGUACAUGCAGUGGUUGCCCUGGUCUGAGCAACGCACCUUGGAGCUGAGUCGGUGGAUUGUCAGCUGUGUGUUGCUUCCUCUUUUCCUGAUAACACACUGCUGUGUCCCGAAGUAGCCUUGUUCGUGUACGUCAUCACCAGCGGCAUGUCGCGGGGCUCUGGGGUCUCCACAUCCUCACCCACAUUUGAUACUGACAGGCUUUUUACCUUUGACAAUCUAGUGUCUGUGAAUCAGUGUCUCAUUGUUUUUAACUUGUAUUUCUCUAAUUACAAAUGAGGCUGGCAUAUUUGUAUACAUUUGUUGGAUUCCUUUAUUUAUUUAGAUUUCCUCUUCAAUAAGGAGUCUGUGUAAGUCUGUUGUCCAUUUUCUUCUGUUGAAUUAAUACCUUACUGAUUUUUAGGAUUUCUUUAUAUUAUAAAAGUCUAAAAGUGAGCUAUCUGUGAAGCACGUGUCUUUUCUUAGUUUGUGGCUUGUCUUUUAACCUCUCUGUUGUGCCUUUAGAAUUUCAUGUAUUUUUGUGAUCUAAGAACUAUUUCCCUGCCUUGGGGGUUAGAAAGGUUUUCUGCCCAUAUUACCUACAUGUUUCUAGUUUUGCCUUUCCCAGGUAAAUAAUCUACCUGGAAUUGAUUUUUAAGGAUGGUAGGUAGGGGUCAAAUUUCAUUAUUUUCUGUGUGUAUAAUCAGUUGUUCCAGAAAAUUGUAUUGAAAGUCCAUCUUUCCUAGUGGUCUGAAAUGCCUCUGUUAUAAAAAUCACGUCUCAACACACAUGUGAAUCAGUUUCUAGCCCUCCACCGGGCAUCUUGUUAUGUUAGUUGUCUAUUGCCGUGUGACAAAUUACCUCAAAAAUUAGCACAUAAAACAAACAUUUAUCGUCUCAGAGCUUCUGUGGGUUAGAAAUCUGGGCACAGCUCAACUAGGUGCCUCUGACUCAUUGCCUAUGAUGAGGCUGCCGUUGGGGGUGUUGACCAGGAGGGUAGCCUUAACUGGAAGGUCAGCUGAGGGAAUACCUGCCUCUAAGUUCAUUCGUGCGGUGGUGGCGAUUCCGUUUCCCAUGGGUUGUGAGACUGAGAUCUUGGUCCUUGGUGGCUGUUGGUCAGAGGUCUCCUUCAGUGUCUUCUCACGCGGGCUUCAGCGUAGGGCGGCUCACAACAUAGCAGCCGGCUUUCCUCAGAGCAAGCCAGCAGAGAGUGAAAAACAUGGAGGCCACAGGUUUUUGUAAUCUAACUUCAGAAGUGGAAGCCCAUCAUUUAUGUCAAGUGCCGUUAAUUAGAAGCAAGUCAGAUUCAGCUCAGAGUCAAGGGGAAAGGGAAGAGUUACACAAGGAUGUGAACGCCCCGAGGCGAAGAUCACUGGGAGCCAUCUUGGAGGUUGCCCGCCACACUUGUAUAGUGAUAUAAAUAAUGAAGUCUCUUCCUAUUAAUCUUUGCUGUUAUCUUUUUUUUUAAAGUUUUUUUUUUCAACGUUUAUUUAUUUUUGGGACAGAGAGAGACAGAGCAUGAACGGGGGAGGGGCAGAGAGAGAGAGACACAGAAUCGGAAACAGGCUCCAGGCUCCGAGCCAUCAGCCCAGAGCCCGACGCGGGGCUCGAACUCACGGACCGUGAGAUCGUGACCUGGCUGAAGUCGGACGCUUAACCGACUGCGCCACCCAGGCGCCCCUCUUCGCUGUUAAGUGAAAUUUGGUAGGGCUGUUGUUUUUAACUUUUUGAUAACUUUCCAUAUUCAAAAUAGAAAGGGGAAAUGAGAAUGCCUUGGAAUGGAUUUUGGAACUUUGGAAGUGAGAGGAAAAUGGAGAUGUGAACUUUGUUCAGAUGGCUGAGUUUAAAUACAUACCAUGUAAUUUUUCUUAACUAGUUUAUCUGCAUCUUCCAAGCUGAAUCACCAUCAUGGUGAUCUCUAGGAAACGUUUUACGUGUUAGCUCAUCGUUUACGAGAUUCUUUGAGACAGAACAAAGCGCCUGCCAUCGACUUUAUUCCUUUCUUGCAGUUCAUGGAACUCACUGAUGCCCAAACCAUAUUCCCAGUAUCACCGAAGGUGCUUCUUAGAACAGGGGAGGGUUGCAUGGUGAGAACAGUUAGCAUCACACACGACUUCUUUGUCAUUUUAAACACAAAUAUCUGUCAACACACUCUCACGGUUACCUAGUGGGAAGAAAUCCUUAGGAGUAAUUAUUUUGAGUUGAAUUGCUUGCUUAAAGAUUAACUUUCAUACACCUGAUUGUUCCGUUUGUCAACACCCUCGUUCACGGCUUCCAGAGUACACUCCGUGGAAGGAGGGUUGGUUUGUGUUGUAGCUUAAGAGAUGAUUGGGGGCACCUGGGUGGCUCAGUCAGUUGAGCGUCCGACUUCGGCUCAGGUCAUGAUCUCGUGGUUUGUGAGGUCCAGCCCUGCAUUGGGCUCUGUGCUCUCAGCUUAGAGCCUGGAGCCCACUUCGAAUUUGGUGUCUCCCUCUCUCUCUGCUUCCCCCCACCCAUGCUGUCUCUCUCUCUCUCUCUCUCCUUCAAAAAAUAAAUAAAAACAUAAGGAAGUCUUUCUGAUCUUUUUUUUUUUUUUUAUCAGUAAAGCAUCUGGGUCCAAUUCACCUGUCCUGUCUUCAGCUUUGAUACACCUGUGGGGCAGCCUGAGUUUGCAUGGAUUCUGAUUUCUAGCCAGUAUUUCAGAAUGGAGGGGUUCAGACUUCCACCAUCGUCAUGAACAUUGUGAUUACUGACUUCAUGAUUCUAAGGGCGCCUCUUGGUUCCCUCUUUUUUUCCACCCCCGUGUGUGUGUGUGUGUGUGUGUGUGUGUACUUCUGUAUACAUCUGUGGCUGAUACUUAGUUAACAAAAGAGAGACCUACAUAUAUGUUCUAGAGUAAUUGCCAAAUCGUGACAUUGUAAAUAAAUAGCUUGGUUUUUAAGUGUGGUGAGUAAGAAAAUCUUCUCACGAUGAAUAAGAAGUAAAACUGUAAGUGUCUCUCCCGCUAAGAUGCCAGACCUCAGAUAACAUACCUUUUGGCAAAGCUUGCAACCUCUUGGUUUUUGUAGAACUAAAGAGGUUAUAUGUAAACAAAUGACAAACACCACUGUUAGCCAAGGCUUUUAUACUGUGUUAUUCUAGAUCAGAUUCUUCUGCCCUCACUUCACCCACUGAUUUCGGGAAGUGUAACAAGCCAGAAUUAGGCAAGUGUAAGGUAUUCAAAUGGAAACUGGGUGCUAAGUGAAAGGUUGGGAACUUUAAAGAAGAUGACAGAAUUCAGCUAGAACCCCACAACCGUAGGGCUGAGAAGGAAUUACAAAGUCUGGGCAGCCACCUGUAUGCAUUCCUUAUUUUCAGGGACCGGGGCAACAGUUUACAUUGGAGAUACUUACAUUAAGAGGUGCUUCCUGGGGUGCCUGGGUGGCUCAGCCGGUUAAGCAUCCGACUUCAGCUCAGGUCACGGUCUUGCUGUUCAUGGGUUCGCACUCAGUGUUGGGCUCUGUGCUCACAGCUCAGAGCCUGGAGCCUGCUUUGGAUUCUGUGUCUCCCUCUCCCCCCCCCCCCCCCCCCCCCCCGCCCCUCUUCCCCUUGCCCGCUCACACUCUGUCUCUCUCUUGAAAGUAUUAAAAAAAAUUUUUAAGAGGUGCUUCCUUAAGUUUGUAUUUUGGAAUUAAAAGACAAUCAUGAUAGAGAGAACUUUCAGAUAUGAAGAUGAUUUUGUACUUAAAGUAAUCUUUACAGAAUCAGAUUUUGAGGUUCUUUUCUACAGUAUAUUGCACCGCAUCAUGUAUAUUUUAACGCGAUUUGCUUGCAUUGAUCACAUCUUUGGUUUCGAUAGAUUUUCUGCAUAGGCCGUAUGUUCAGGCUCAGUUGGAAAAAAACAAGAAGGUGCUUCUAAGCUCUAAUUUAUCUUGAGUUAUGAGCCAUCAAACAUUUUUUCCUUCAUCCCUGUUAACUUCCACUUGGAGCACUCACAGUGCCUUUGAGCCAUGAGAAAAAUUUACACAUAAUAUUUUGAAUCCAUUAAAAGAAGUUCAGAGCUUAAGAGUUGUUUUCGUAUCUCUCGAGUCGGAUGAAUUACGAUCUCACAGAAAAUAAUAAUUAGGUGAUGGGUGGCUGCUGUGCUUUGAUUUUUGGUAUGAUCAUCCCUUUCUUUCAUUUGCCUCAGUUCAAGCCAGGGGUUUGGACACCCUGAAAGAGGGGAGUCACCCAGACCAAGCAGAGGCUCAUCAGAGCUCUCCCUUUGCUGAACGUCAAGGCAACAUUAUUCAGAAUAUAGUCUGAAAUGCAUUUGGUCAUACAGUACAUAGUUUAAUAAUGUAUCUUUGGCCCUAUUCGCAAAGCCUCAUAUUUACUCUGCUGUCACCAAAACAAGAUAGAAAACAAGAUUGUAGUGAUUUUGUGUGUGUGUGUGGGCAUGUUCUGGUUUACGAUUUUCCCUUUGCGAUUUUAAUGACCUGAUAGCAAUGACACAUUUGAGGUGAGGGGGUGUGGGGAAAGUCAUGUAAGAAUAAUAUCUGAUUCAGAAUUGCCCGUGCCCAAAAGUGCUACAGGAAGGCUGACAGUACUGUGCUCUCAUCAUGUAACUCUGUGACAGAAGUGUUAAAAAUGUAAAUAGUCUCCCCCAAAUAAAUGAACAGGUGUAAUUGAUCCCAGGUUUAAUUUGUGGAUCCAGCUACAGGCCAGUGUACUGAUGGAGUAUGCAUAUAAUAUUCUUUACAGACUUCAGGAACUAGAGAAUACAAAGACCUUUGGUUCGGAGAUAAUCGGGGACUCAGAACGAUAGGGUAUCAAGAUGCUCCCAGUUUGAGGCAUUGUGUGGAGGAGCAGUGGAGAGAGGUAGCUUGGCACCCGUCAUCCACUGUAUGUCCUCGUAUCUGGUGAUGACACGGGGCUCGGAGGGGAGGGUGUCUGUCAGUCGGAGGAAGGGAGCUGGCACGUGGAGGGCACCCUGGCAAUACCUGCAGGUGUCAGGGACAGAAGAACUCCCUUCGACGCUGCGCUGCAAGAUGGGAAGACAGGUGGCAAGUCUCUUACAGGGGUGUCUUUUAUUUGAGCAGAACCAGACCAACUGUUCCUCAUUAAAACACAUUUUGCAGCACGUCCUAAUGUGAGCAGAUCGUGUGUGUGUGUGUGUGUGUGUGUGCGUGUAUGUGUGCGUGCGUGUGUGUGUGUGUGUGCGCGCGUUCAGAGAAAAUUCAGCAAGGUGCCAUCUACAGGUCACACUUGAAGAAUCUCAGCAUGUGGUUCAGAACCGUAAGACAGGUAGCAUGAAACGCCUCUAUGAGACGGGAGGCUGGCUUUCCUGGAAUGGCCAUCUGUAGAGACACAAAAUGUCACCAGUAUCUCCAUGAGAUGCAGUAGUAAGCAAAAUGGAUGAAGUCUGCCGGGUUGGAGUCUUGACCCAGACCGUCAUUUUCUGUGGAGCGCUUGGUUUUUCUUCCCAUCGCAUUAUAAGGGCACCUGCGCUGCAUUACGACCAAUGCUAAAUUCACCAUGACCGAAGCCAGGCCUCUCCUCUGCUUCGCCGGUAUACCUGCUCUGUGUAAAUUGGGCAAGCCGGGAUGAAGUCCUGUGAACAGCUUCCCUGGGAAUUGGGGAGGAAGAAAAGAAUGCAUACGGAAUACUCACAGUCCUGCCGGCCACAUGGUGACCAAUGCAUAAACGUUUCUCCUUCUACUUAGUGUUUCUAUGUAGAGGCUGUCAUCCCCCUGACCUCCUGGAUCCUCAUGCUUCUGGUUCUGUGGUCAUAUGUAUUAAUUUAUAAAUAUUUUUGAUAAAGAGGAGGAAAUGCAGGAGAGGCCUCAGAACAGCACGACUUUCCAUUGGAAGGCCAAGCCCACUCAGCUCCCAAGAAAAGGACAGGAUGUUUGCAUCUGUAUAAAAAUAUAAAUAUAGAAUGCAAAGGAACACAAGUGUCUUUUCAGAGAACAUUAAUCAACUACGUCCUUCAGGUCCUUCUCUCUUUCAGCUGUAAGAGCCACGAGUAGGACCAACGUGGUGGCUUCACAGGUCUGUGUUGGCAGAAGGAAAAGACCUCAGCAGAGGCUGAGUCCUGGAGCCCCCCUCUUCCUCCUCCAGGAAGCUUCACGGCCAGCCAGCCAUGAAGGGAGGUGCCCUGCACCCCUCUUCCCUGUAAACGUGGACUGCACUCUCUCGUGCAGCCAUUCGGCACUGCCUGCACUGAGCUCACCUGGUGGGAUGAGAAAAUGGGGAUUCACACGUGCCAGGAGUGGUGAGCACAAUAAUGUACACACACGCGCACACACAACAACCCACGUCCUGAUCCCAGCAGCCUGUGAAUGUUGCCUGACAUGGCAAAAGGGACUUCAGGUAUGGGAUUCAAUUAAAGGUGGUGAUGGAGAAAUUAUCCUGGAUUAUCCCCAUGGCCCAAUGUAGAUCACAAGGAUCCUCAUCGAAAAGCCGAUACUACUGGCUUUGGAAAUGGAGGGAAGAGGCCACAAGUCAACGGAUACAGGCCGCCUCUAGAAGCUAGGUAGAGAGCAAGGAAACCAGCGCCCCUCCCCGUCAACCCCCCAGAACCGCCAGAACAACGCAGCUCUGCUGACAUCUUGAUUUUAGAAUCGCUGACCUCCAGAAUUGCAAGAGAAUGAAUGUUACUAAAACCUGUGGUGCCUGGGGGGCUCAGUCAGUUAAGCAUCCGAUUUCGGCUCAGGUCAUGAUCUCGCCGUUCGUGAGUUUGAGCCCUGCACCAGGCUCUGUGCUGACAGCUCAGGGCCUGGAGCCUGCUUCAGAUUCCGUGGCUCCCACUCUCCCUGCCCCUCCCCUGCUCGCGCUGUCUUUCUCUCUCAAAAAUAAAUAAAAACAUUAAAAAAAAAAAACACCUGAGGUUUGGGGGCACCUGGGUGGCUCAGUCGGUUGAGUGUCCAACUCUUGAUUUCGGCUCAGGCCAUGAUCUCAAGGUUUGUGGGUUCGAGCCCCAUGUCAGGUUCUGAGCUAAGCAUGGAGCCUGCUUAAGAUUCUCUCUCUCCCUCUGUCUCUACCCCUCCCCAGCUUGCUGUCUCUGUCUCUGUCUCAAAUAAACUUAAAAAACUUUUUUAAACCUGAGGUUUGCGGUAAUUUAUUCAAGUAGCAAUAGAAAGCUAAUAUACCACACUCCUUCUCCACUGGUAAGUUUUUCCCCAUUGCUACUAUUUUAUAUUUAUGCUGUGUGUAUAGAUAAUGUUUGACCCCCUGUUCCAUUUACCCAAGAAUCUUAUAAAUACAAGAACAGGCACAUGGCACUUUGUAUGGAAGACUGUCUGCACCCGUAUAAAAUGUGAAUCCCCAGCACUGAGGAAGAGGUAGAAAUGCAAAUACUCCUUCAGCUAGCACUGCCCCCCCUCCAUGCUGGGCCAGGGUGCAAUUGGAGAGGCCCCUUUCAAGGAGUAUACACAGGAUCACGCAGGAGUAGAGAGGUGCCACUGACGGGUGCCAUGGUGAGGGCCAGCCAGCAGGAUACCCAGCCCCACAGAGGGAAAGACCUGAGUCCUCUGUCCUCUGGAGUGGGGCGAUGGUUGAGAGAGCUUUUCCUACAGGAGGUCCUGUCUGACGGGGCCCUGGGAGAACAAUAAGGAGGCAGGGGGAAGACCGUGGGUGGGGGGGAGCUGGCUGGUUCAGGCUGGGCACAGAGCAAGGGCAAGAAGGUUGUAUGUACCUCUGUGGGAUCGACAGUGACUUUUUUUCCCUCGUUUUUAGAUUCUUUGAAAAAAAAGUUUACGACAAAACUAAAUAUCAAAGGAGAAAGCAGAUGUAAAAAUGGGCCCCUGGCACAUCUGAUGGCUGAAUCCCGUGUCAUAAAUUGUGGAAUUCGAGUUUCUUUUCAUGUAUGAGAUGGUUUUAGUUAAGAGCCGUUCCAGAAGGCUCAUUCCACAGAGUAAGAGCCCAGAGGGGAAAAGAUGCCGGAGCAAGCGAGGCACAGUCCCUCUCUUGUGGGUGAGUGCUUGAGGAUGGUACUCGGGGCCGCACGUGUCCGUCUCACUUGGUACUUUUCUCAGUGCUGGGGAGGCUCUGGCCUUCCCCACGUCCCAAGUCCCACUGCUGGGCUGGGGUAAAAUAGCCCUUUCUCCAGACCUUCUGUAUCCCAGGCAUCCACCAGGGCGCUGGGUGUGGUAUUUUCCCCCCUUUCCACAUCACCUAAAGGUAGAUACUGAGAUACCUUUGCCUCAUAGGAGAGGUAGCAAGGCUUAGAGAGUUUCCACUGCUUGCCCAAGGUCUCACAGCUGCUAAGUGUCUGAAUUUGGAUUCGGUUUCUGCCCUGUCAGAAUUCGAAACCCAUGCUCCUUCGUUACACACCGUGUGUCCCCUGAUGAUGCGUAAGGGACAAAAGUAGCAUAAAUCAAUUAAUCGUAUUUGAGAAAUAGAUAACAUAGUGACCUUAUCAUUUUACAAAGAGAACAUCUUGAGGCAGCUUGGUAUUUAGAACUGCAAACUACCACAGAAUAUUGUUAAUCUUGAGUUUUAUGUGCUCAAAAACUGAAUAUACAAAUCUCAUUCGAUCCCCGUAACAACCCCGUGAUGUGAAAAUACUAAUAGUACCUCCGUUUUUUUAGGUGAUUUUAUGUGGAAACAGAGAGGAUGAAUCAUUUGUCCCCAAAUCCUCCAGUAGAGAUGGGAUUAGAGUCUGGGACCAGCGUACUUCCUGUCCCCAGAACUGGUGUCAUUUGACAUUGGUGCGUGCAGUGUGACCGUGUGUGGGGGUCUCUCCCUUCCCUAGCAAUGCCUGGGUAACCGCCCAAGAAGGGGAUAAUUCAGGAUGGACUGUUGUCACCAUCUGACUAGACUGAGUUUUGUCUCUAAAGCCUUCGUUUAUCUCCACCCGGUUGAUCUGAUCUGUAAAGCUCCUGAACAUCAACGUUCUUUUUGUUUGGCUUCGUUUUCAGAAUAUGUACUUGGUUCUACAUUCACAGAUUUCUUACAUUAAUAGGAUUUAACAAACUAGACUUUUGAAAACUAGUAGGAUACGUUAAGAAUUAGCAAGUAUAGGAGCACCUGGGUGGCUCAGUCGGCGAAGCAUCUGAUUCUUGAUUUUGGCUCAGGUCAUGAUCUUGCAGUUCGUGGGUUCGGGCCCCACAUCAGGCUCUGUGCUGACAGCUCAGAGCCUGCUUGGGAUUCUCUCUCUUUCUGCCCUGCCCCCCCCCCCAAUAAAUAAAUAAAAACUAAAAAAAAAAAAGAAAGAAUUAGCAACAUGUUUAGAAAUUAAUCAAGGAAGCAGUGAGAUUUACAAGGGGGGGAAAGAGCCCAUGUUAAUCCAAGUUAACACUUUCUCAGAGUUGUCCUUAGUUUGUUAUAACUGGAUAAAUAUAAGGAUCUUUAUUGAACAAAGGUCACAUCCUACCUCCUUUCAAAUUUCUGUUUCAAAAAAGGCAUUUGUAAGUGGAGUUUUAUUUCUUAAAAAGUGUAAGUUUGAGAGUUGGUGUUUGUUUAGUUUUAAUAUGCAGUAAAAUUUCUCAUAUUGGGUGCGUUAUAGUUAGAGGGAAGUGUGUCUUGAACUUCAAGAAUUAAUAAGCUUUGGUAAUAAUGUUGUUUUAAAGAUUUAGUUCUUUUUAUUUUUUUUGGAGAGUGAGCAAGGUGGGGAGGGGGCAGAGGAAGGGAGGGGGAGAGAGACAGAGGGAGAGGGGGGGAGAGGAAGGGGGAGAGAGAGAGAAUCUUAAGUAGGCUCCACACUCAGUGCGGAGCCCGACGUGGGACUCAAGUUCACAACCCUGAGAUCGUGACCUGAGCCAAAAUGAAGAGUGAGACACUCAACCAACUGAGCCACCCAGGAGCCCCACUGACUUUUGGCAGUAAUGUUAAAGAAGUUUAGGGAGGAAUGGGGCGCCUGGGUGGCUCAGUCGGUUAAGCAUCUGACUUCAUCUCAGGUCAUGAUCUCAUGGUUUGUGAGUUCGAGCCCCACAUCAGGCUCUGUGCUGACAGCUCGGAGCCUGAAGCCUGCUUUGGAUUCUGUGUCUUCCCUCUCUGUCGUGCUUCCUUUCCCUUCUCCUGCUUGUGCUCUGUCUCUCAAAAAAAUAAUAAUAAUAAUAAUAAUAAACAUUAAAAAAAAUGUUUUUUUUAAAAGAAGUUUAGGGAGGGUUGGAGCCUUCUGUCUACUUUCCAGAACUAAUGACCAUACUAACUUUUUCUCUAAGUCACUUACACGCAUUGUUCUCUGCGUGCAGUCGUGCACGCGCACACACGUAAACUUUUACCUCACGAUUGGGUAUUGAUCGUCACCUCACCUAUAAGCACUUUUUAUUUUAACUGCGUGCUAGGAAUGCCGUGUUAUUUCCUACUCGUGAAUGCUCCUUCUCACUGUGUAGAGGUCUGCUGUGUUUGAGCAUCUUGGACUUGAUGAGAAAGUCCUUCUGUUUCCUGUAUUUUCAAGUUUCUUUUCUUUCGGUGCCACAGCAAUAGUGACAGCUGAAAUACGCAGAGCUUGCUGCCUGCUGAUUACUGUCUUCUGAGAAACCUUUUUUGUUUUCAACCUUAUAUUUAAAAAUACAUCAUCGGACUCUUUUAAUCAAGGUCUUGAAUCGGUAAAAGGUGAAGACAAUAAAAGACGCACAGUGCGGUAGACAGACUAAAUCUUCCUUCUCCUGCUGUGUUUUGAUCUGAGGGAGACUGGCAGGUGAGGUGGGCUUCCUGGAGCUCGUGUGCGAUUCUGUGGUGCAGACGUGGCCACUAGGAACAGGAGGGCGGCCUGUCACCAGAGCACUUUAUAUUCUGGUGUGUUUGGUAUGUGAUGGGGGUGUUGGGGGGAGGGGGUUGAGUAAUACCCAGGGGGAAAAAUGGCUAUGUUGACUACAACUACAGCUGACCCACUAUGGUCGUUUAAUAAGUAACUUUCAUAUUUUGAGCAAUUUUAUGGCAAAUGAGUUAGAAGAAGAAGAAAUGUCGUGAAACUGUCAGAAGCCGAGGGUUUUUUUUCAGGCUGAGAGCACAGGCACGUUACCUGCACUGCAGCUUUGUAAAGCAGAAUGUUUUAUAAGCUCAACUAAAUGCGUAAGGCUUUAAGACGCACCUCGCCCUGCCCAGGUCAGCCUGACCCCUGCCCCAGCUGGCAGCAGCGGUCACCAAGUGACAGCUCCUUGAAUGGCAGGUGCAGCACCAAGGUCCAGCAUUCAGAGCCUGGGGUGGAACAGAGGUGGGUAUUUCUAGAAGCUGGGAGAGGUUUCGUUUCAGAGCCUCUCUUUGAGGGCCCCCUUCCAGGGCCCUGUACUUAAUUUUGUAUUCAUAUUUUUUUCUUAGAAAGCUUCCGUCUCUGUGUUAUCCAGAUCUACUCCUGGGUGAGGGUGUCUGUGAUCCUCCUGAGGUCAUACAGCGUGAAGCGUGACGGGGGGCUGCGUGCAGGUGUGCACGGGGACCUCCACAUUUCUCUGGGGGAACGGUCUGUAGUCUUAGUUAUGGUCUUCUAAACCCAAACUGAAGAAGCGUUGAUUUAAUGUCUAGAGGCGAGGUUUUAGGAUUCGUGUAGAUUAGUUCCCUGAACACAUCAUAGGCCACGUCGGUUACCAGGGACACGGAAAGGCAUCUUUCUGACCGGUUGGAUCUCAUCUGGAUUACACACCCCCCAUUCAUUCAUUCAUUCAUUCAUUCAUUCAUUCAUUCACUGAUUCACUGCUAAACAUUUACUGAGUCCCUGCUCUAUACCUGUAGUUGUGCAGUUUCAAGAGGCCAGAGGUGAGUUAGACAGCCUCCCUUCGUUGGAAGAAGUCCCAUUGUUGAUGUCAUUGUAGUGCAUCCAUAUGAGUGCUGUCCUUGAGAUAGAUGACUUUUAUUUUUUUUUUAUUUAAUUUCAGUUUUAUUACUUUACUUUUAUUUUUUUUAAUGUUUAGUUUUUGAGACAGAGUGUGAGUGGUGGAGGGGCAGACAGAGGGGGAGACACAGAAUCCGAAGCAGCCUCCAGGCUCCAAGCUGUCAGCACAGAGCCCGAUGCGGGGCUCGAACCCACGAAUUGUGAGAUCAUGACCCAGUUGAAGUCAGACACUCAACUGACUGAGCCACCCAGGCGCCCCAAGACUACUUUUAGUCAAAAUAAAAGUUUGUCCACAGGUUCUUAACCCUAGCACAUCACACAGAAAGCCGGAUGCACAAGAGGAUGGUCUUCUGGGGUGCAGGCAGGUUUGGGUGCACCUCUGUGCUCUGGCCGCCGCCCCCACUGCCUCGGGGGAGGAGAGCUCCAUCUUUUGGGGUGCACGUCCCUUGUUGAGGGACGGACCACGCAGGGCAUCAGCCCAGGUACCUAUGGGGCGCCGAAGUAAAUAGCGAUUCGACUGCCAUUGGGUCGAGAGAUUUAUCCUUGUGGCUAACAGUUUCGGUGACUUUGCAAUUGGCCUCCUACAGUCAAAGCAAGAAUUGUUGCACAUCCAUCACAUGGAAGUAUUAGGCAGUGGAGGCUGGAUUGUAAAGGUGAUUUUUUAUUUCCCCAUUCCUAGUCUUGGCACCUCUCAUUAACUCAUCUGAACACAGGUCCUGUUGGUUCUCCACCCAAAGUCCACCGUCCAUCCUAUCCAUGCCUCCUGCCAGCAUCCUAACGAAGGUGUCCGUCACCUCCCACCUCAGCUUGUCACUGGACCCUCUCCUCUCGUUCUCUCCCCUCCCUUCCACAGACCCUGCCCAUUCCUGCCUCUGUUCCUUUCCGGAACGUGCGGUUCCAGUGCCUCUGCUGGCCCAGCUGCAGCCCGCACUUCCCACGCAGAGGACGAAGGUGUCAGCAGGGGGUUCUUGGGGAGCUUGGGAGGAAAGAAUAAGCAGAAUAAUGUGUGCUUCUGUGUAUUUCUCCACGCGUUCUUCCACGGACAUGCCUUAUGCUGUCCUGCCUCUGGGUCGCCCCCUCCUCCCCCUACCUUGUUCCUCCCACCCAUGCUCUUCUUCCCCACAUCCUUCCCCUCCUCCCCUGCCCCCACCCCCUCCCUCAAAAUGUUGUUUCACGUUUCAGAAGGGGAGGCACCGAUUCUAAAGCCUGUACACAAGGCGAAAUCUUAUAUAAUAGAAUUAAAAUUACACUUUACAAAGCCAGAGCCAUCUUGAGAGCAGCCAGGUGCCUCCCCCCCUACUCCUCUGCACCCCCAGGAAGAAGCAUCAGGGAACAGAGACCACCUAAAAAGCAGUGUGGUGGUGACUCCUCACUCUUCGUGCUCCUUCCAAGCAGGACUUUCCGACCUUGUCCAUGCCUGGCGCACAGAGAAAGUGGUAGUGGCUACACUGCCCAGCGGAGUAACGGAGGGAGCCGCAUGUGGAGGGCCCGUCCCUCUGGCCGCCGAGACCCCUUCAGACCCCUCUUCAGGCUUGGGGCAGCCCUCCUGCAGCAGGGCCCCAGCUGGAAAUCUCCACCCUGAGGGAUACGUUUGUGGAAUCAAAUGGCUUCCACAGUUUGUCCUCUGUCCUUCUUUUGCCGAGUGGAUGUGGUCGCAUCCCUAAAAGUUAACGUUUUUCCUAUGAUUCCACUCUACAUAAACGUUAUGCUUCAUGAAUUCUGCCUUGAUUCUCCAUAAACUCACACUCUGUCUCGUAUAUGUUGUGUAUAAUCUGGAAAAUCAUCAAUUUGGUCUGACGCUUCCAGGAAAGGAAAUGUGAUUUUCCCAUACCUAACUUGAGGCCAUCUGGCCCAUGGUGCAUGUCUGAAUGUGUCUCUGUUGAAGGAGUAACUAAGUGAUAGCUGCUUCUUACAUCAAGCUAAAAAGCUUCUGCACAGCAAAGCAAACCAUCAACAAAACAAAAAGGCAACCUACUAAAUGGAGAAAAUAUUUACAAAUCAUCUAUCUGAUAUGUGAUAAGGGAAUAAUAACCAAGAUAUAUAAAGAACUCCUACAAGUCACUAGCAAAAAAACCAAUCUGAUUACAAAAGGGGCAGAGGAUCUGAGUAGAUAUUUUUCCACAGAAGACAUACAGAUGGCCGACAGGUAUAUGAGAGGCACUUAAACAUCACUAAUCAUCAGGGAAACGCAAAUGAAAACCACAGUGACACCGCAUACCUGUUAGAACGGUUAUAUCAAAAAGACAAGAAAUAACAAGCAUUGGCGAGGAUGUGAAGAAAAGGGCACUGUUGGUAGGAAUGCAAACUGGUGCAGCCACUGUGGAAAACAGUCUGGAGGGUCCUCAAAAAAUGAAAAACAGAACUGCCAUAUGAUCCAGCAGCAGUUCCUCUUCUGUGUGUUUAUCUGAAGAAAAUGAAAACACUAACCCCCCUGUGUUCACUGUAGCCUUAUUUAUAGUAACGAAGGUAUGGAAACAGCCUAUGUGUCCAUCGGUGGAUAAAUGGAUGAAGAAGAUGUGGGAUGAUGUAUAUAUGUAUGUAACAAUAUUAUUCAGCCAUAAAAAGAGGGAAAUGUUACCAUUUGCAACAGCAUGGAUGAACCUCUAGGGCAAUCUGGUAAGUGAAAUAAGUCAGACAAGGACAAAUGCUGUAUGGGCUCAGUUACAUGUGGAAUCUUUAAAAAAGCAAAACAAGUUCAUAAUUACAGAGAACAGAUGGAUUGGGGUGGGGAUGGGCAAAUGCCCGAAGGUGGUUAAAAGGCGCAAACCUCCAGUUAUAGUGUGAAUGAGCCCUGGGGACAUACUGUGCAGCGUGGUGACUGUAGUUAACAAUACUGAGUUGGAUAUUUGAAAGUUGCUAAGAGAGUAAAUCCUAAAAGUUGUCACAAGAAUAAAAUUGUAACUAUGCGUGGUAGUCGAUGUUAACUAGACUUCUUGUGGUAGCCAUUUUGGAACAUACAAAACACGAUGAGGUUGUACACCUGAACGAUAACAAUGUUCUGUGUCGGUUGCAUCUCAAUAAAGACAAAACUCCUUGUAUAGGGACUCAUUAUUUGAUUGACAUCACAGUAGGGCUUGUUUGCAUCUUUUAAAUCUUUUUUUUCCCCCCUCUAUGUUUCCGUCUUCCUAGGAAUUCAGAAAUAGGCUUGGGAAUCACCCGAGUUCAGUAUCCCACACUUCUGCCGUCGGGCGAGACUUCGCGAGCUCCAGGAUGGCCCUCCGCUUGCAAAAUCUCCGUCGAGACCGUGCACUGAGGGUGUCCGUGGGCCUGGCUCUGUUGGCUCUUCUUCUCGCCUUUUUUUGUCAAAAUCUCUAAUGAAAACACAACUAAAUGAAACAUUGGAGAAGAAGAAUAAGUUUCUAAUUUAAAAUCUUCAAUGAACAGAACAGCAAUCACAUCAGUACUCCAAGAGCCGUCAUUUAUCCUGGUCUCCCUGCCUCUGCUCCAGCCACACUUUUUAAUGAGGCUGAUUGUGUCUCUUGUGGAGUUGGGCCAUUGGUUAUUUGACCUAAAACCUACUAACUGUUGCCAUGGCAUAUCCUUUAAAUUAAGCUCCUUUUGGUUUAUUUGCGGCAAGAAAUGCAAGCGGUUGCAUUUUCUUUCAACCUCUUGUCUUCAAGUCAGAACCUAAUUACACAGUCCUCUUUUCCUUGUGUGGGAAGAAUUUUGAAUUUCAUUAAACCUUUAAAAAUGUAUCUUUCUCUCUCUGCUUUGUUUGGAGUCCCGGUGCUACGAACAUCUUAUUUUUCA